CGAGCCCAGCCCUCAGAGCCAAUC
RNAcentral lists this non-coding RNA (24 nucleotides) under Arabidopsis thaliana (thale cress). The record is from RNAcentral. Lineage: Eukaryota; Viridiplantae; Streptophyta; Magnoliopsida; Brassicales; Brassicaceae.